UAAGCCUGUGAAGGUGGCCUGUGAGGGUUGCUGGAGGUAUCAGAAGUGCGAAUGCUGACAUAAGUAACGAUAAAGCGGGUGAAAAGCCCGCUCGCCGGAAGACCAAGGGUUCCUGUCCAACGUUAAUCGGGGCAGGGUGAGUCGACCCCUAAGGCGAGGCCGAAAGGCGUAGUCGAUGGGAAACGGGUUAAUAUUCCCGUACUUGGUGUUACUGCGAAGGGGGGACGGAGAAGGCUAUGUUGGCCGGGCGACGGUUGUCCCGGUUUAAGCGUGUAGGUGUGUGUUCCAGGUAAAUCCGGUUCACUUUAACACUGAGGCGUGACGACGAGGCACUACGGUGCUGAAGCAACAAAUGCCCUGCUUCCAGGAAAAGCCUCUAAGCAUCAGGUAACAUCAAAUCGUACCCCAAACCGACACAGGUGGUCAGGUAGAGAAUACCAAGGCGCUUGAGAGAACUCGGGUGAAGGAACUAGGCAAAAUGGUGCCGUAACUUCGGGAGAAGGCACGCUGACACGUAGGUGAAGUGAUUUACUCAUGGAGCUGAAGUCAGUCGAAGAUACCAGCUGGCUGCAACUGUUUAUUAAAAACACAGCACUGUGCAAACACGAAAGUGGACGUAUACGGUGUGACGCCUGCCCGGUGCCGGAAGGUUAAUUGAUGGGGUCAGCGCAAGCGAAGCUCCUGAUCGAAGCCCCGGUAAACGGCGGCCGUAACUAUAACGGUCCUAAGGUAGCGAAAUUCCUUGUCGGGUAAGUUCCGACCUGCACGAAUGGCGUAAUGAUGGCCAGGCUGUCUCCACCCGAGACUCAGUGAAAUUGAACUCGCUGUGAAGAUGCAGUGUACCCGCGGCAAGACGGAAAGACCCCGUGAACCUUUACUAUAGCUUGACACUGAACAUUGAGCCUUGAUGUGUAGGAUAGGUGGGAGGCUU
RNAcentral lists this ribosomal RNA (931 nucleotides) under Salmonella enterica subsp. enterica serovar Muenchen. Its description in RNAcentral is "partial 23S ribosomal RNA". It matches the Rfam family "Bacterial large subunit ribosomal RNA", at positions 1243 to 2157 of the family's 2925-position model. Lineage: Bacteria; Pseudomonadati; Pseudomonadota; Gammaproteobacteria; Enterobacterales; Enterobacteriaceae. The record is from RNAcentral.